Molecule: ribosomal RNA, 420 nt
Filed under: uncultured bacterium
Lineage: Bacteria
Description: bacterial SSU rRNA
Rfam family: Bacterial small subunit ribosomal RNA
Source: RNAcentral
UGGGGAAUAUUGGUCAAUGGACGCAAGUCUGAACCAGCCAUGCCGCGUGAAGGAUGAAGGCAUUCUGGGUUGUAAACUUCUUUUAUCUGGGAAGAAACUUCCGAUUUCUAUUGGAGUUGACGUUACCAGAGGAAUAAGCACCGGCUAACUCCGUGCCAGCAGCCGCGGUAAUACGGAGGGUGCAAGCGUUAUCCGGAUUUACUGGGUUUAAAGGGUGUGUAGGCGGGCUAUUAAGUCAGUGGUGAAAUCUCCGAGCUUAACUUGGAAACUGCCAUUGAUACUAUUAGUCUUGAAUUUUGUUGAGGUAGGCGGAAUAAGUCAUGUAGCGGUGAAAUGCUUAGAUAUGACUUAGAACACCAAUUGCGAAGGCAGCUUGCUAAACAAACAUUGACGCUGAGGCACGAAAGCGUGGGGAUCAAA